CGGGGUGGAGUAAUGCUUGGGAAUCUAGCUUAUGGAGGGGGAUAACUACGGGAAACUGUAGCUAAUACCGCGUAAUAUCGAAAGAUGAAAGUGUGGGACCUUCGGGCCACAUGCCAUAGGAUGAGCCCAAGUGGGAUUAGGUAGUUGGUGAGGUAAAGGCUCACCAAGCCGACGAUCUCUAGCUGGUCUGAGAGGAUGACCAGCCACACUGGGACUGAGACACGGCCCAG
RNAcentral lists this ribosomal RNA (230 nucleotides) under uncultured bacterium. Its description in RNAcentral is "partial 16S ribosomal RNA". It matches the Rfam family "Bacterial small subunit ribosomal RNA", at positions 104 to 334 of the family's 1533-position model. The record is from RNAcentral.